RNAcentral lists this long non-coding RNA (482 nucleotides) under Crocodylus porosus (Australian saltwater crocodile). RNAcentral describes it as "lncRNA (ENSCPRG00005001091.1)". Lineage: Eukaryota; Metazoa; Chordata; Crocodylia; Crocodylidae. The record is from RNAcentral.
AUAGGAAUAGGAGACUCAAGUAAAAUGCCUCUGUUGUGGUUCAUGCUCUAUCAUCCCUGGUGAGAAUGAGUUGCUUUCAUUGGCCUCCAGUGCAUUUACCACAAAGACCUUGGAUAUCUGUGGAAGCAGGAAGAGCCAACCCCAUGUGGAUGAAGUACCAGUUCUCUACAGGAUGUGGUGUGAAAAUCACAGAAAUCUCCAAGUGGAAAUCCAGAGAUUAAGGGCAUCAUUGAAUCAAUCAGGAACUCAGCUGAAACAAACCUACACUGUAAGACAUACUGGACCUCAUGACGCAACCAGCCCCAGUUACUGACUGUGCUAGAGAAAAUUUUGAGCUGCUGGAGCAGGUUUGGAAACCAGAAAGAGAAAAGGCUUCAAUAGCACACUAUUUCAUCUACCCUGGUAAAGUGGUGGUUUCUAAUUGUCAACAGAUCAGAAAGUUCAGUACCACAGGACAGACACACUCAGACUUUUCUGAAUAA